AGGGGUGUAGCCAAGCGGUAAGGCAAGGGACUUUGACUCCCUGAUUCGUAGGUUCGAACCCUGCCACCCCUGCCA
Molecule: transfer RNA, 75 nt
Filed under: Clostridiales bacterium
Lineage: Bacteria; Bacillati; Bacillota; Clostridia; Eubacteriales
Also listed under: 4 other names
Description: tRNA-Gln
Rfam family: tRNA
About the family: Transfer RNA (tRNA) molecules are approximately 80 nucleotides in length. Their secondary structure includes four short double-helical elements and three loops (D, anti-codon, and T loops). Further hydrogen bonds mediate the characteristic L-shaped molecular structure. tRNAs have two regions of fundamental functional importance: the anti-codon, which is responsible for specific mRNA codon recognition, and the 3' end, to which the tRNAs corresponding amino acid is attached (by aminoacyl-tRNA synthetases). tRNAs cope with the degeneracy of the genetic code in two manners: having more than one tRNA (with a specific anti-codon) for a particular amino acid; and 'wobble' base-pairing, i.e. permitting non-standard base-pairing at the 3rd anti-codon position.
Source: RNAcentral